This is a non-coding RNA of Acanthosepion pharaonis, 97 nucleotides long. The record is from the annotation of a GenBank genome assembly. Lineage: Eukaryota; Metazoa; Mollusca; Cephalopoda; Sepiida; Sepiidae.
UAAAACAGUGGUUCCUAUACGAUCAUCAAAGUUAAGCUUGGUUGAGCCUGAUCAGUACCUAGAUGGGUGAGCACUUGGGAAUACCAGGUGCUGUAAU